GCACUUGGGUUUAUCAUCACAAACAAUAGCUACAUCAACGUCGGAUAGAUACACAAUCGAAUCUUUAUCCUCAUCUUUUUCCUUAGACUGCUCCUUCUUUAAAAAUCUGCAUUCUCGUCUUAUGUAACCCGGCUUCUGGCAGUGAAAGAAAAUUACUUCUUUUCUAUCUCUUGACCUUCCCCUGAAUUUGUCAUCUUCAGGAGAGUUUCUCCCUUUGUUUUUGUCCCUACUCUGUGCGACAAAAACUUGUGACUCGACGCUAAUCACCAUAGUAUCUCUUCGCCUCUAUUCCUCGUUAAACAAACUAUCCUUAACUGUAUCCAUAGUCAGCUUUCCAUUAGGAGCGGAGUUACUCAACGAUACAACUAACAUCUCC
RNAcentral lists this long non-coding RNA (376 nucleotides) under Panax ginseng (ginseng). RNAcentral describes it as "long non-coding RNA (PGIN_LNC013430)". Lineage: Eukaryota; Viridiplantae; Streptophyta; Magnoliopsida; Apiales; Araliaceae. The record is from RNAcentral.